CACGAUGAAGGGCUCUCCUUCCCAGCACAGCCGAGCAGCUGAGGCCGGGCCCUCUGGAGGCCGAGGGGGUGGGCGGAAGCCCCGUGAGGAUGAGGGGGCCGACCCCAGGCCUCCCGCCGCGUGAGCUUGCGGCCAGCAUAGCACGACACUGGCGGGCGUCAGCACGCAUCUAAGGACUGGUUACGGGUCGAAGGGUUGAACGGCCUUCCAAGAGGAUGUGCCCAGCACCUGUGAAUGCGACCUCAUUUGGAAAGAAUCUUUCCAAUGUGAUCAAGUUAAAUUGAGGUCUUACUGUCACACUAAAUCCCCGAAACCAGACACGGCAGGGGAUGAAGGUUGCUAAUCGGCUGACCUCAGAAUAAGAUGAUCCUGGCGAUCUGGCAGGCCCAGCGCCACCACCGUGCCCGUCAUCAGAUGAGAAAGGGAGGGGACACAGAGAGGUAGAGGUGACGUGAUGACGCAGGCAGAGACGGGGGCAAUGCAGCCACCAGCCCAGGACAACGAGGAUGCUGGAAACUCCAGGAGCGGGAGGAGGCCCGGCCCAGAUUCGCCUCGGAGCCCGCAGGAGGACCCAGCCCUGCAACCCCUGAUCCCCGAGUUCUGGCCUCCAGGCUGUGAGAGGAUAAAGUCUGCUGUAUCCAGCCCCCGGUUUGUGGUUACUUGUUGCAGCUGCCCAAGGUGACCAGCCCAGCUGGAUGGCGGGUGAGAGCUGGGUGGAGAGCAGGUACGGUAAAUGGUGCAGCUGCGUCUGGACGAUGGGCUGUGGGUCUGCACUGGAACGUUCUUUCGGCUUCCCCGUGUGUUCAAAAAUUUUUCAUGACAAAAUGUUGGGGAAGAAAUGAAAUGUUAGCAAAAUAAAAACCUGUCUCUCCCCACCACCACUUAACAAAAUCUGAACAAAUGUUUAAAGACUAGCAGUCUGAAGGGCAGCUGAGCUCUGGCCAGCGGAUCCAGGCCACCCAGAUGUCCCCGUGCUACCUGCGCAGAGGCCUUCCCCUCCCCGUCUCCACCUCAGCUUGGCCUCCCACUCCUGCACCCCAGCCCUGCCUGACCUCCAUCGGGUCACCCGUCCUGGCGAGGCCUUAGCAGGAGGACCCUAUUUCUCGCCAACGUGUGAGGCUGGACUUUCUAGGGACGGAGGGCGGGGCCACGUCCUGCUCCGCCCAUGACGGCCACCCCGAGAGCCCUGGAGCAGGACAACCCCAUGGGAGCAGGGCCUCUCCGUGCCUGGGCUCUGCCUGCUGCCAGCGCCCAGGACAGGGCCUGACCCACAGGCCACAGUCAGCACGUGCCCAUUCAAGUGACAAGUGAACGAGAGCGUCAGCCACCAGCCCGCAGUUGCCUCUGUCCUGGGGACGCCGUGGUGGACACGAGGGCUCUCACGGCCAUUUAGGUGAGUCCCUGUCUCGGCAGAGAAAAUAUCUCUUAGCUCUUUUCAUGUCAUUGCCGUUGUUAUUCAAGCAGAAGAAAUAUGACCAGCCACCAGCUGGACGCUGGCCUCCUGCCCGCCGCCCCAAGGAGCCGGUGGGCCUCCACCAAGAGCGGCCCUGGUCCUGUCCCCGCCCCUUUGCGAUACGGCCUGGAAGCAGGACACGAGCCUCAGUUUGGACCUCAGCACCACAACCUCUUGCUGAGCAAUCUCAGGCAAGUCGCUUUGCCUCUCUGGCCCUCAUCUUCGUCGUGAAAUGGAUACAGCGCCAGCAGCCUCGGAGGCGACCUGAGAGCCAGGGGCGCAAUGCGGGUGAAGUGCCACAGAGAGCCUGCAACCCGCUGAGCGGCACUGCUGUUGCCGGUGCUUGGAUGGCCACCUGGCGUUAGACGUUUGCUCCUGGAACGAAGUCCGUGUUGGGGUGAAGGAGGGGAAAUCCCUGUCAAGAGGCAGGCCACGCCCACACAGACAGAUCCAGGUCUUAUUCCCGGGGCCCUGGGUAAGUACGCAAGACGCCUGGGAGGGGCCUGCACCCCGGAGAGGAAAAGGGCGGGAGGAGGGCUGGGCAGAGCGAGAAGUCCAGCUGGGUGCAGGUCAGAGCCGGGAGGGACGGGGCCACGAGCGCAGGGCACCUGGGGCCACCAGGAGCUGCAAGAGGCAGGAAGGAUCCUCCCCUGGAGCCUCUGGAAGGAGCGCGGCCCCGCGCACACCUUGACUUCAGACUUCGGGCUUCCAGAAUGGUAAGAGAAUGCACUCCUGUGGUUUCUGGUUUGUGGUGCCUUGUUACAGCAGCCCCAGGAAGCAAGUACGACACCCCAAACCUGCCCCUCCCACGGCGUCCCCCCCUUGAGAGACGACUGCUCCUCCCUGGUUUCUGAGGUCGAUAGGAGGGCCUUCGCGCCUUCCCAUAUUCCCGUCCUCCCGGCCACGUCCAGCGCAUCGGCGCGUGCUGGCGCGUCCCCGGCAGCUGGGUGCCGGUGCGCGCGGUGGGCCAGGGACAUGGUCUCGGAGCUAGUGCAUCCGACCAGGACGAGAAGGACUCGUAUCCAGACGCACGGCCCCAGCCCCGCCUCUGCUGCCUAGGUUUGCGGUGGCUUUAGCCGGCCUCCCGCUUGUAUUCAUUCAUUCAUUCAUUCUAGGAAUGGGCUCACGUGAUUACGGAGCUGGGAAGUCCCACAACCUGCCGCCUGCAGGCCGGCGGCUCAGCACAGCCGGUGGGGUAGAUCAGCCCGCGUUCUGAGGCCUGAGAGCCAGAGGAGCCGACGGGUGAAGGCCGGUCCGAGGGCAGGAGGAGGUGGGACAGCUGUCCCUCAUCCCCAGUGAGGCGGGAGGAAGGGGCGCGUCCUCCUGCCUGCACGCUGGGCGCUAUCCGGGCCCCUCCGGAGUGGAGAGGCCCUACGCCGGCGAGGGCUCUGCGGCAGGGGCCCCCCUCGGAGGCUCAUCUCGCCCGGAAACGCCCUCGCUGACCCUGAGCGGUGCUGGGUGUGGGCUCCAGCGGCCCGGCGAGCUGACACACGAGGCGCUGUCUCCGCCUCUCCUGCCUCCCGGGUCUCACCCCUCCCCGGCGCCCGUUUGGCUCAGAGGCGGCGUCACAGCAGCGAUAGGUGACGGGCCUGCGCACACGCCCCGCUGCUUCCCCGCCGGGCAGCCCGCUCGCCCCGCUGACCUUCCCCGGGCAUCACGUGGCUCGCUCCCUCACCCCCUCCAGUUGAGGCACCUUCUCAGCCGGCCCUGCUCUGCCCUCUGAAUACCCUCGUUCCCUACCCUCUUCCUGCUGUAUUUCUCUGUGUGACACCGGACAGGACACACAGCAGGCCAGCUGCGUCCCGGGCCCAGAACACCAGCACACAGCGGGCACCCAAGCCGUGCCACCCGAGGGAGUGAGCUGGAGCCCAAGGCGCAGCACUGGGGCAGCGCGGAAGCCCCCGCCACGUGGCCACUUAGUGUGCCCCCGCCCCCGCCCUGGCCCGGAGCACAGCGACGGGACCCAGAUGGCACUGUUGGAGGCCGUAGCCAUGAGGCUCUGCCUCGUGGAAGGACUCCGUGUGGCAGGUAGCACGUCUGACCCCACCUCGGGGAUUCUCAGCCUGUUCCAACCAGAGACGCCCGUGAAAGCAAGCCAGCUUUGCGGAGGGUGUAGGGCUAACCACCCCCGAGACUGAGGGCCGGCCUUUGUCCGGCUCCAGGAGGGGCCCGAGGCCCCGGGCGUCCUGAUGGGAGCGCCGUCUGCGGGGCCGCGGCCCGUCAGGGUCACCGAGGGGGUCACGCGGGGCUUUGGGCUGAGUGGCCCCCGCGCCCCCUCUGGAGGGGCCGGACCCUGGGGGCAGCCAUGUGGGUCCCACAGCCCCGGUAAAAACGGGACGCCGAAGCGGGGAGCCCCCGGCUGGCAGCAGCCCGUGCGUGUGCUGUCACACGUCAGGGCCCACGGGGAAGACACCGGACGCUCGUGGUCGGGCAUCUCCUGGGUCUGCCCUGCGCCCUUCCCUUGGCCGAGGCUACUUCACGCCCCCUCCCUGCAGUGAGCCAGGGCCGUGAGAACAGAGCCCUGCGGGGGCUCGGGUAGUCCUCCUGGGGGCUUGUCCACCCCGAGGGGAUCUCAGGGGCCUUGGGCUUGUCGUCGGCGUCAGAAGCAGGGGUCUCGUGUGCACUGGGCUCCCCCUAACUUUGAGGGUGGCUAACGCUCACACAACAGCCAGCACAACUGCUUCCAAAACUCACACGGGGGCACCUUCUGUGCUCUGUCUUGCUGCAUCCCAGCAAUGAGAAGAGAGCCUGACACAGAGCAGGUGCUUAAUCAAUAUCGGUUGGAAUCAGUCAAUUGCCCGGUUGGAUGUGAGGGUGGGGGAGAAGCAGGGGUGCCUUGCAGAUUCCAGGAGCGCUGUCUGGGUCUGAGGACCCAGGCACUGGGUCACAGUGACAGAGAGAAAGGCCAGGGGGCGGGUUGACCCCUCUGCUAGCACCUGGCCCCUUGCUGCUUCCCAGGGAAAGCGUUGGCGCUGUGAGAGUCGGAGAUGACCUUCCGUCGCGUCUAUGUGGACGGCAGGUCCUCCCAGGCUGCAGGGGCUUCCUGCUCCUGCUUCAGGGCUCCGUCCCGUCCUGGAGCGCCAGGUGGCCUUUGACGAGCCAAGGGUCCCUCAGUGCACGCUCUGACCUUGACCCAGGCCGCAGUUCACACCCAGGUCACACGUGCUGAGCCCACUGGGUGCUGGGCCGUCCACUCAUCUGCCCCUCACCCAGUGGUGGCCGCGUGCGCGUGCUAUCCCCACUGCCACAGCAGGGUCCGCUCCGCAGGCCUUCCCCCAGGCCUCUAGUUGAUGCCCGCCCCGCCCCUGGCCUCCCUUUUAACUGUGACCUAAGCCCCCUGGGCCCUGUCUUUGCCAGCCCUCACCAGCGACCGUCACCCACCUGACUCACCUAUUGUGUCUCACUGGGGUAAGGAUUGGGGCCUGACUGCAGGCAGCCCUCAAGAGCAGGGCCAGCCAGCUGCCUGGGGCGCCUGCCGACUCCUCGACCCCUUGGCCCCCGUGAGACCCGCAUCGGGCUCCUGGCCUCCAGACCCAGGGAGUGCCUCUGGCACAGCCCUCCCUCCGGCAGCCAGGAAACCGCACGCCCAGUGACAGUUGUGAGAACACAUUCAUCUCACAGGCUUUGCCAAAAUCAAUCUGUUUGAACAACAACCCUCUGACAGAGCCCUGAGGUGGGGGGACAGACGGAAGCAGCUGUCACCAACAGCUGGUGGGUGCCAGGAGCCUCCCCCAGGGCCUCCCCGCAGCCCCAGAGUGGCCCUGGGCCAUCCCCACUCUCUGGCUACAUCCCUGCUUCUACCCGACUAUGGUCGCCUGGAGGCUGUGGGGUGGAGAAGGAUUGCAUUUGUUAGAUGAGUAACGUGGCUGAUUAAAUUUGCCGGGCAGGCUCCUGGCACACCACGCCGUCUCUCCCUGGUGGGCACAGCAUCUGUUUGAGGUAGUUAAAAAGACGGUGAUUGAAACAUCCUGAGGGCUAGAUCCAGCCAUGAGAGAGCGCAGCCCCCAAGGACAAAAUCCUGGCCCCAUCGCUUAGGCUCCAGACCCCCCAAGGGGGGGCGGGGAAUUAAAGCCCAGGAACAGAAACAGGCGUCUAGCAGCUCCGGGGUACUGAGAACGGGGGCAGGUCAUCCAUCUGUGCCUCUCCUGGAAUUUCCCUGCCCCACACUUCACCAUCCUGCUGUGGGCCCGGAGAGGGCAAGUCAGGGGCUCCCUGCCCUCUGACCACCACUGAGUCCAGCCCAGGGAGCGCCCACAGGAGAGCAGGGCCAGGGGCAAGAGAGGGAGGGCCCCUAGCUGCGGCCCUUGACCUACCUGGACCACAGCUCCUGCGGGCACCCUGCCCACGUAGGGUCCCCUCCUCUCUCCCUCUCCGUGCGUCUGUCUCACUCCCUUGGUUCCCACGUCUGUCCCCCCGCUCCGCCCUUCAGCCCCAGGUGGGACGGCUCCUCCUGUGCCAGUACUGCCCCACCUGUGGACGCCCACACCCCAAACACACCUGUGUCCCUUUGCAACACGGCAACUGUACUUCCUGUAAAAAAAAAAAAAAAAAAAAAGUUUGGUAGCUGCCCUAGAGUUUGCAACGUACAUUCACAACCCAUCCAAGUCCACUUCCAGUAACAUGGUCGGUCUCCACAGGCAUGUCAGCACCUUCAGGGAACACUGCUCUGUUCACAUCCCCAUAAGCUAUAAUCACCCGAUACAUUGUGCUGGUAUCAUUUUGAGGAAACUGUUACGUUAGGACGAUUAGAAUAAGAAAAAGCGAAGAUUUUAUUCUGCCUUCAUUUAUUCCUUCUCCAGCUCUCUUCUCUUCUGCAGACCUGAGUUCUGGCCUAAAUCAUUCUCCGUCUGCCUGAAGGCCGUCGUCCAGCAUUUCUUUCGAGGCAGGUUCCUGGCGCCUGUCUCUUUUCUAUACCUUCCUCAAAGGGCCCAGGUGGAGGGUGCCUGACUCAUUCCAUUUCAUUUAAACCUACGAUUUUCAACAACCCUAUGACAUGGGCAUGAUUUUUCAUAUCCUACAGGUGAGGAAACUGAGGCCCAGAUUGCUGUGUGCACGGCGUUGGAGGUCAUUCACCCACACAAUGACUUUAAAGCCAGGCUCUGAACCACUGCACCUGCGCCCAGGAGACUCUGCGGGAUGGGUGAGAGAUGAGUUUCAGUUGGUCCAGCCCUGCCUGGCCCUCCUGGGAGCCCCCGGCCUCCUUCCACCUCCUGCCAGCCGUGUCGCUAACGCCGCUGUGGGCCACACCCUCAAGCCUAGCUUCUUCCCUCAUCAGGAUGCAGGACACGGCCUCGUGUCUUCUGAGAGGCUCGUGAAGUGCCUGCCCAGCUGCCAGCUGGCCCAGUUGUUGCCAUGGAAAAGCCCAGAGUGUGUGGGCCGCCUGGCAGCCCGACACCCGCUCCCCUGGGACCCCCCGGCCAGGCUGCUGGCCCAGUGCCCAGAGCACACACGUGGCUGGGGGCCUGCUCCCGGCGGGCCUCACUGAGGACAGCCAGGGGCCUUCCCUGGGAGGGACAGGCGACGCCGGGCCCCUCUGCAUCCGUCAGGGCCAGGGGAGCCCCACUGAGCGGGACAGGGCUCUUUCUGCCUGCCCACCUCCCUCCCCCUUUCUGCUAAUGGCACCCCAGCCUGCUUUGAGGGGCAGCCUCCCCAUGUGAGUACAGACUCGGGGCCCCACCCUCACCUUGGUCGAACCCAGGUCUGGCCAGUCAGCAGGUGUCACUCCCCCUACCUCUGUCCGUGUCACACAGGUUGGUCCAGGGCUGGGCAGGUAACCUUAGUCAAACCAGUGAGACUCCUGGAUACGUGCAAACACCUAGCAAAGGCGAAUGGCUGAGCACAGAGCCAGGGAGACUCAGAUGUGUCGGCCUGGGUUGACCUCUGGUUCAAGCCAUACCUGAAACCAGUAUCCCUGGCAUCUCCAAUUGCCUGAGGUAGCACAGUUCCAUUUUUAUGCAUGCCUGAUUGGGUUAGGUUUUUGUCACUUUGGGGAGAGCCCUCACUAACACUCUUUGGGUCCUAAAAAGAUCCCUACAGGGAGGCUGCAUCCUGGCUCCACCCUGACCCACCCUGUGUGCCUUUGAACGAAUCACCCCCCAGGAGCUCUGGUCUCUAUGUCAUGGGGCCUGGGCGCUCACAAUGGCCCCUCAGGCUGAGCAUCCUCCACCCUGUGCCAUCAGGAGGACGUCAAAAGAAUUUCCUUGUGACGUCAGCCUUUCCCCAUCUUCAGAAAAAUGUCAGGGCACCCAGGGAAGCAAGAAGGGCUGAGCGUUAUCUCUUUAACAGAGGUUUGAGCUGCCUGCCUCGCUGGAGCAAGAAGAGACUUGUCUGUGCGUAGCCAGCCAGGAGGUUCCUUCUUGUGUCCACCCUUGUGUUCCAACUUGUGCCCAGCUAUUUGCCCUGGGACUCAUUCCUUGCCCAUUCCUGACCCUGCAGGUGGAGCCUCCCAGGCUGCCUUCUGUCUGGGCUCAGCCAGAAGGAGCCUUGGGUGGGAGACUGUGUGUCCAUCACCCUGGAUAGGAACCCAUGGCCCUCAGCACUUCCUGCAAGACCUGGAGUGGGUGUUCCAAGUGGGGCUCAAGGGACUGGGAAGGAGUCACUCCACAUCCAACUCUGCCUUCUUGGAGGAAAAUUCCACAACUUACCCCAACUGUGAGCAAGUCCUCAUGUCCCCCCAGCACAUCACAUCUAUGAGUAGUGACACUGCAAAGAAAGUGAGCCUGAAGUCCUUCAGCAAAGGCUUGAUAUUUCCAAUGUGCUCCCCUGACUCUCCCCAUGCAGGCGAAGCACUCUUGCCUGACAUCUGGGCUGGAGGCCCCAGUGCCGGAGAAAUCUUCUCUGCCUCCCUCACCACUACCGCCACCUCCGUCCCCACUUUCACUCUCAGGAUGUUGAUGAUGGUGGUGGAGGCGAUGAGGAGGAGGAGGAGGAGGAGGAAGAUGGUGAAACAGGAGCAGCAACCCCAGGACCACAGGGAAGUCCGACCCCCAACCCCAGCCUUAUGACAAAUCAUAUUUGGUCGAAGACAGUCAUUAGUAAAUCCACCCCCCUUUGCCAGAUUUUCACUUUCCCAGCUUCCUUUACAACAGUUAAUGGCCGUGAGACACACUAUUCUGGUGAUGAGAACUCCUGGGACUUGGCAUCACUGUUGCUUUCCUCUCCUCACGGGGUGCUGGAGGGAGGCCAUGAUGGCUGGAACCGCAGCAAUCAUGUCGUAUCAAUAAAACAUCAAGUAAGAUAAAUAAAAGCCAACGCUGUAAGUAACGUUCUAUUUCUUGAUUGUUACACGGGUGACACGGAACACAUAACAUUUUAUGAGAAUGCGUUGAGCCCUGCACUUUUCCAGCUGGAGACAAUGAAGAAUUGCAAUUAAGAAUGGCAACCUGGGGCUUCCCGGGUGGCGCAGCGGUUGAGAGUCCGCCUGCCGAUGCAGGGGACGCGGGUUCGCGCCCCGGUCCGGGAGGAUCCCACAUGCCGCGGAGCGGCUGGGCCCGUGAGCCGUGGCCGCUGAGCCUGCGCGUCCGGAGCCUGUGCUCCGC
Molecule: long non-coding RNA, 8991 nt
Organism: Physeter macrocephalus (sperm whale)
Lineage: Eukaryota; Metazoa; Chordata; Mammalia; Artiodactyla; Physeteridae
Exons: 3
Source: RefSeq, a predicted model, not a curated record